RNAcentral lists this transfer RNA (98 nucleotides) under Cyphobasidiales sp. Tagirdzhanova-0007. Its description in RNAcentral is "tRNA-Ser". It matches the Rfam family "tRNA". From Rfam's summary of the family: Transfer RNA (tRNA) molecules are approximately 80 nucleotides in length. Their secondary structure includes four short double-helical elements and three loops (D, anti-codon, and T loops). Further hydrogen bonds mediate the characteristic L-shaped molecular structure. tRNAs have two regions of fundamental functional importance: the anti-codon, which is responsible for specific mRNA codon recognition, and the 3' end, to which the tRNAs corresponding amino acid is attached (by aminoacyl-tRNA synthetases). tRNAs cope with the degeneracy of the genetic code in two manners: having more than one tRNA (with a specific anti-codon) for a particular amino acid; and 'wobble' base-pairing, i.e. permitting non-standard base-pairing at the 3rd anti-codon position. The record is from RNAcentral. Lineage: Eukaryota; Fungi; Basidiomycota; Cystobasidiomycetes; Cyphobasidiales.
GGAGCGAUGCCCGAGUGGUUAAGGGGAGAGUUUAGAAUCGGUUAAUGCUUGUCAGCUCUUGGGCUCUGCCCGCGCAAGUUCAAGUCUUGCUCGCUUCG